GGUAGGAAUCUCGCCGCUUGAGGCAAUGGCGUCAUUGUAAUUGUCUUUCAAACGAUUUGAAUUGAGCGCGCUCUGUUACUUCUGGCAUCUGUGGUGAGAGCAAACAAACAGUCCAGAGCUGUUAUGGCGGAUGUGUUGGGUGUUGUGCGUUUAUUGUGAAGUAAAACUUCGUUGUAGGCGCAUAUCUAUUAUGUUUUGAAGUUAGCAGAUUGCACGGCACCUGAUUGGUGGAGCUGUGCGGUUUUGACGCACGAAAUGCUGUCAAGAGCUAAGCCUUUUGAAGCAGAAGGAGAAAGCAACCAGCAGAUGAUAUUUGAUCUAAUUCUGAAAACAGAUGUGGUUAUGCUCGAACACUUCCUACCAUGAGUGGCAAAUCUCAUAGUGAGUGACACCAAAAUACAUUCAGGUGAUGGAAGAACAAGUGCCGAAGAAAUUAAAGAAGCAUCCAUUCAACACUAUACCGAUCUUAUGGAAUGGACCCACAUAGAGUGCUUUACCCAGGCACUGUAUACCUCUGGGAAUGGCUCCUCCUAAUGAAACAUCUCGUGUGCAGUGGAUCUGGAAACACUGGCAGUAGGACACCGCAUGGGAUGAUAUCAGGGCAAAGUCGGUACUUCUGCCGUACUUCCCGCUUCUCGAUGACAACAUUGUUGGUGAUGAUGAAGACUAGUUUGGUGUUGAUGCUCCGAGCACUCAGUCUCGCAAGACUGAUGACACUUUCAAGGUCAGAACAAGAAUCUGCAACAUUUUAAUAUUUGUUGCAUGAGAAUAAGAUUUAUUUCUGGUCAUUCUGUUACUGUUAGAAAAGGUGCUCUACCUGAGGGCCAUGUUGCCUUCAAGUUACAUAAUAAUGUAAAUGUUGCUGUUCUGAUUAGGCCUUGGCUGAUAUUUGUUCACUGUAACUCUGGUAUGGUGCACAAAGUAAGAUUCACCAUUCACACUGCCUUAUAUAUUAACUUGGUUCAUGCAUAUAAAUGGCAGGUACUAGCAGAACAAUGGUCAUGACUGUGAACUGUUGUCUGAUAUCAGUAACAUAAUGGGUUGUCAACAUCUUGAAGUACAUUGUUUUCUACAAGCCGAGAAUUUACUCAGCUAGUCCAGACAUUAGCCAUAUCUAACAUUCUGUAACAUACUAGAACUUUUCCAAUGAGGUGCUUCUAGCACCCUACCUGCCCUCCAAUAUAUCUGGAUGUCCUCUCAUUCCACAGGAAACAGGCCAUGCCAUGGUGGCAUGGGAUUCACUUAACGUGCUGAAAAUGUUUAAACAUACCUUUUAAGAAUCUAGCUGUCUUGUGGGUUGUA
This is a non-coding RNA of Zootermopsis nevadensis, 1302 nucleotides long. The record is from RefSeq and is a predicted model, not a curated record. NCBI's taxonomy places the organism in Eukaryota, Metazoa, Arthropoda, Insecta, Blattodea, Termopsidae.